This 420-nucleotide ribosomal RNA is filed under the name uncultured bacterium. RNAcentral describes it as "bacterial SSU rRNA". It matches the Rfam family "Bacterial small subunit ribosomal RNA", at positions 356 to 773 of the family's 1533-position model. The record is from RNAcentral.
AAGGAAUAUUGGUCAAUGGACGGAAGUCUGAACCAGCCAUGCCGCGUGGAGGAUGAAGGUCCUCUGGAUUGUAAACUUCUUUUAUAGGGGGCGAAAAAAGGGAAUUCUUUCUCGUCUGACGGUACCCUAUGAAUAAGCACCGGCUAACUCCGUGCCAGCAGCCGCGGUAAUACGGAGGGUGCAAGCGUUAUCCGGAUUCACUGGGUUUAAAGGGAGCGUAGGCGGGCAUUUAAGUCCGUGGUGAAAGCCCUCAGCUCAACUGAGGAACUGCCAUGGAUACUAUUUGUCUUGAAUGUCGUUGAGGUUUGCGGAAUGGGUCAUGUAGCGGUGAAAUGCUUAGAUAUGACCCGGAACACCAAUUGCGAAGGCAGCAGGCUAAACGAAAAUUGACGCUGAGGCUCGAAAGCGUGGGGAUCAAAC